CGGCGGACGGGUGAGUAACGCGUGGGUAACCUGCCUCAUACAGGGGGAUAACAGUUAGAAAUGACUGCUAAUACCGCAUAAGACCACGGCACCGCAUGGUGCGGGGGUAAAAACUCCGGUGGUAUGAGAUGGACCCGCGUCUGAUUAGGUAGUUGGUGGGGUAACGGCCUACCAAGCCGACGAUCAGUAGCCGACCUGAGAGGGUGACCGGCCACAUUGGGACUGAGACACGGCCCAA
Molecule: ribosomal RNA, 238 nt
Filed under: uncultured bacterium
Lineage: Bacteria
Description: partial 16S ribosomal RNA
Rfam family: Bacterial small subunit ribosomal RNA
Source: RNAcentral